Molecule: long non-coding RNA, 1109 nt
Organism: Myotis brandtii (Brandt's bat)
Lineage: Eukaryota; Metazoa; Chordata; Mammalia; Chiroptera; Vespertilionidae
Exons: 2
Source: RefSeq, a predicted model, not a curated record
CGCGAGGGGAAGCGGAGCAGGGCCCGUGGUGUUCGCAGCAGCAGCACCUGAUCCCGGUGGCGCCGGGACUGCGGCCAGAGGGCUCCCCACCUAGUCGGUUCCCACCCCAAGCACCGAAACCCACGAGCAGCGCCUGCGACCGAGAUUCGCUUUCAGACCUGUGCACGGGGUUAUUUUUUAUACGUAGUUUGAGGCGCAAGGACUGUGCACUUACAAGCAAUUCAGGGUAUUGUUCAGAUCUUUCUAGAAGGUGACCAUCUCCCCGAGGAGAAAGAACCCCCGUCAGGCUGCAGGUGCGGGUCACAGUGGGCCGAGUCCAGCUGGAAGCAGGACCGCUGAGGCUGGGUCCGGAAAGGCUGCCCACGAGCCCUGUGAACGCACGGUCGCCUUAUCCCGUCUGGCCUCAUGUCCUCACCAUGCAAAUUUUAAAGCAGUGCUUGGUGCAUGGUGAGCAGAGGUAGAAGGGCAGGAGGUGAACUGCAGAACAGUGCACAGACCACACGUCCAGCCCAGAGAUGGGGAAUUGCCUCCGAUCCCACAUCUCGGGGCAAAAAGUCAGGAGAGCUCGAAGACUCAGCCUCAUACAGCAACUGCCAAUAGGCAUUUAUGACCACAGAAGAGAUGGCGAAGACAAUGUCCAGGAGUGUGUGAUCUGAUGGACCUUGUCCCUGGAAAUGCCAUUCGGUGUCUGCCAUGCAUGCACCUGUUCCACGUGGCCCGCACAGACGAGUGGCUGAUGAGCAGCACCACAUGUCCCUGCUGCAGGUGGCUGGUGCUUGUAACACGGCCGUCCUAGGAGAUGGACUGCGCCAGGAGCGCUGGUGUGAUUUCCCGUGAAUCACCAUCUUUAGAGACUUUCAUCUUUUGCCACUGAGCCUAGCCAGGGAUUAGAAAUUAGGAUGAGACAUAAAGGUUUCCUUAAAAGAUCUAGAUGUAUCUCUCUCCCUCUCUUUGAAAAUCAAUAAAAAGUCAUUAAAAAUACCGUCUUAUUAUUGUUCCUGUACCCAGGAAUUGUGUGAUGUUACAGAAGCUCUACAUGUUUGUAUGGUGUGUGUUAAAGAUUAGGAAUAAGAUGUUUUCUAAAUAAAAAAAAAUCUCAACCACCCAAA